GGGUAGCUGUAUCUGAUCUCCCUGCUGUACAGGGUACUCAGAGGGAUGGUUCGCUUGUAUCAAGGCUCUGUGGAACUCUGGUAACAUUAAAAGAGGUAGUAACCUGAUGUUCGCACGUAAAGCAGCCGACCAGUCAUGGCACACUCCUCCUACACCUGCUGCUGCCUUCGUCGUUUCAGAAGCGCCACCGAACACUGCAGAAGCUUUAAAGAUUGCUGAAGAGCUUUUGCUCCCUCUUGAUGCGC
Long non-coding RNA from Bolinopsis microptera, 245 nucleotides. RefSeq lists it as uncharacterized. The transcript has 3 exons. Lineage: Eukaryota; Metazoa; Ctenophora; Tentaculata; Lobata; Bolinopsidae. The record is from RefSeq and is a predicted model, not a curated record.